UUAUGUUGUUUUAUUAUAGUAAAUAAACGGUAGAAUUUAUAGUGUUUUUUUUUAGUAAGAGUAUAAUUUAUAGAGAAGCUAAAAAGUCCCAGGGAUAAACUAGGAUUAGUUACCCUAUUAUACUGAGAUUUAAAUGUAAAAUGCUAGAUUAUUAAUAGAUAGGUUCUUUAAAUUUAAAAAAUUUGGCGGUGAUUUAGUCUAGUUAGAGGAACCUGUUUUAUAAUCGAUACACCACGUAAGAUCUUACUAAUUUUAUUUGGUUUGUAUACCAUCAUUGACAGAUAAUUUUAGACGAGGAUUAAUUAUUAACUAUAGAUGAUUAUGUAAAUUAGAUCAAGGUGCAGCUAAUAAAUUAGUUAAAAUGGGUUACAAUAAAUUUUAUUUAAACGGAUUAUAUUAUGAAAUGGGUUUAUAAAGGGGGAUUUAAUAGUAAUAUAGGUUUAAUAAGCCUAUGGGAUAAUAGCUCUAAAUCAUGUACAUAUCGCCCGUCGCUU
RNAcentral lists this ribosomal RNA (494 nucleotides) under Buea sp. 2 PAMN-2019. RNAcentral's name for it is "partial small subunit ribosomal RNA". The record is from RNAcentral. Lineage: Eukaryota; Metazoa; Arthropoda; Malacostraca; Decapoda; Potamonautidae.